UUGGAGGGCAAGUCUGGUGCCAGCAGCCGCGGUAAUUCCAGCUCCAAUAGCGUAUAUUAAAGUUGUUGCAGUUAAAAAGCUCGUAGUUGAAUUUCGAGACCGGUCUACUGGUCGUGCUUUUGUACGUACUGGUUUUAUCGGUUUCUCCUUUCUGACGAACUAUAAUGCCAUUAAUUUGGUGUUAUGGGGAAUCAGGACUGUUACUUUGAAAAAAUUAGAGUGUUUAAAGCAGGCUCACGCUUGAAUACAUUAGCAUGGAAUAACGGAAUAGGACGUUUGAUUCUAUUUUGUUGGUUUCUAGGAUCGACGUAAUGAUUAAUAGGGAUAGUUGGGGGCAUUAGUAUUCAAUUGUCGGAGGUGAAAUUCUUGGAUUUAUUGAAGACUAACUACUGCGAAAGCAUUUGCCAAGGAUGUUUUCAUUAAUCAAGAACGAAAGUUAGGGGAUCGAAGACGAUCAGAUACCGUCGUAGUCUUAACCAUAAACUAUGCCGACUAGGGAUCGGAUGAUGUUAAUUUUUUAAUGACUCAUUCGGCGCCUUACGGGAAAC
RNAcentral lists this ribosomal RNA (548 nucleotides) under uncultured Glomeromycotina. RNAcentral describes it as "SSU rRNA". It matches the Rfam family "Eukaryotic small subunit ribosomal RNA", at positions 548 to 1098 of the family's 1831-position model. Lineage: Eukaryota; Fungi; Glomeromycota. The record is from RNAcentral.